CAAUAGCGUAUACUAAAGUUGUUGCGAUUAAAAAGCUCGUAGUUGGAUCUCAGGCAUGGGCGCACGGUCCGCCUCGCGGCGGUCACUGUGUGUUUUGUUUCCCAUCCUACGCUUCCCGGUUAUCAGCCCAUGGUGCUCUUCACUGAGCGUUUUGGGUGGCCGGAACGUUUACUUUGAAGAAAUUAGAGUGUUCAAAGCAGGCACGUCGCCUGAAUAAUGGUGCAUGGAAUAAUGGAAUAGGACCUCGGUUCUAUUUUGCUGGUUUUCGGAACACGGGGUAAUGAUUAAGAGGGACAGACGGGGGCAUCCGUAUUGCGGUGUUAGAGGUGAAAUUCUUGGAUCAUCGCAAGACGAACAACUGCGAAAGCAUUUGCCAAGCAUGUUUUCAUUAG
This 392-nucleotide ribosomal RNA is filed under the name uncultured eukaryote. RNAcentral's name for it is "partial 18S ribosomal RNA". It matches the Rfam family "Eukaryotic small subunit ribosomal RNA", at positions 592 to 976 of the family's 1831-position model. The record is from RNAcentral.